Molecule: long non-coding RNA, 3548 nt
Filed under: Olea europaea subsp. europaea
Lineage: Eukaryota; Viridiplantae; Streptophyta; Magnoliopsida; Lamiales; Oleaceae
Source: RNAcentral
AGACACAAUAAUGGACGAAAUUUGGGAAAAAAAUCAUGCCCUAAUCAUCCAAUAAAUUGUUCUCAAUCCGUAGGUAAGCUUUCAAUCAACAACCCAAACCUUCAAAUCCUCCUUUCAAACCACACAAGAUAGCACAUAUUUCUAUAAUUUUUUCUGCGAAAAUCGAAGAGUGGGGACCAAGAUCUACUAAAAUUUAUUCGACAUGUCGGAUGUGGAGGAACAAGAUGAAGGUUAUGACUUUUUUUUUUUUUUUUACAUUUUUUGUCUAUAUUGUUCGCAUAAAGUAACUUUGGACAGAUUUUGGAGCUACAUUAAUUGGGUCUUUGUGUUGAAAUGGCAUAAAGUCUCCAUUAAUUUGAUUGUCUGUUCACGUGAGUUGGACAUUAGUAGGGUCUUCUUCUUCUUUUUUUUUCUUUGAAACGUUUGUGCAGUAAAUUUCAUAAUUCAAUAGGUUCUUACAAAUUUCUAUUUUUCACUAUAUUGUCAACUAAGCAAAUUUAUAAUCUCCUAUUGUCUAGGUUAUUUGAACAGUGAUUUGGAUAAAGAAGACAUCACCUUCAAUGAUUCCGAUUAUAGCCUUGGUGAAGAAAACGAUAUUCUCUUUGAGGAAAAUGUUACCCAGAAUAUUGAACUCGAUAUGAGGAAUGAGAUAGUGUCAUUGGAAGCAGCUGAUGAAUCUGACAAUUCUGAAUAUGUACUCUCAAAUGAACUUCGAAACAGUCAUUCUGAUAGUGGCGAAGAAGUUGUUACAUACCUAGAAUGCUUGAGGUAGGAUUGAAGUUUAGGUCCAAAAAGGAGGUGAAAGCUAUGGUUAAAAACUUCAGCAUUCAUAAUAAGUUUGAUGUGGUCUUCCUGUAUAAUGAUAGAUACAGAUUAGAAGGUCGUUACAAAGGAAAAAAUUGUCCACGACGUAUUUGGGCUUCACCGUUGGAGGAAGAUUCAUCGUAGCAAAUUAAAUCGUUCGAACAGGAUCAUACCUAUAGUAAAGCAUUGAAGAAUAUAAGUAUAUCACUAGUUGGUUAGCCCGUAUAUACAUUGAGACCUUUACUAUUGUGCUAAAGUGAGAUGUGAAAUUGUUUAAGCAAUUGUUUUGAAAGAGUAUGGUGUAGAGACUAGUAACACAAAGGCAUGGAGGUAUAGGAGAUAUGCUAAGGAGUUGCUUCGAGGAUUGCUAGUUGGGUAAUUUGGUUUGUUAGGUUUGUAUGCAGCUGAGGUUAUGAGAACAAACCCAAGAUCAACUAUUAUACUAUCUUUAGACGAGCUUGUGUUUAAGGCGAUUUAUGUUUGCUUCGAUGCUUACAAAAAGGGUUUUUUGGGUGGUUGUAGGCUCGUUAUUUGCAUAGAUGGGUGCUUUUUGAAAGACAAUUUUAGUGGUUAGUUACUUGCUGUGAUGGGAAUUGAUAUAAAUAAUUGUAUAUUUUUAAUUGCACAUGCUAUCGUUGAAACUGAAAGUAAUGCUAGCUAGUUCUGGUUUUUGAAACUGUUGGAGGAAGAUUUGAUGCUCAAAAAUGCAUAUGGAGCCAGAAUUAUGUUUGAUAGACAUAAAAGGUUGGAGAAUAUGGUGUCCGAGUUUUUUCUAGUGGUUGAGCAUCGAUUUUGUUUAAGGCAUAUGUACUCCAACUUUUUUCGCAAAGAUUUUAAAGAGUUGAGAGUUAGGAUUUGUUGUGGAGAGCAGCUAAGUCUACCUAGUUGGCUAGUUUACAUAUUAGGUGGACAAAAUUAAGGAAGAGGAGAAAACUGCCUGGGAGUGGUUAUGUGCUAAACUAGCUGAGCAAUGGUCGAAGUCCCAUUUCUUGACGGCUUCCAAAUGUGACAUUUUGUUAAACAAUCUCUACAAAUGCUUUAACAACUACGUAAAGGAAACGAGGGGAAAGGAUAUUUUGACUCUCCUUCACUUAAUUCAAAACAAGGUAAUGGCACGGAUGCACAAAUGCUGCGAUUUGAUCGCAAGGAGUUUUAGCGAUAUAUGUCCAAAAAUUUAUUAAAAAAAAAAAAUGAAAGUAGUACACGUGAUUCUUUUUUGUGGAAAGCAAUAUUCAAUGGGAAAAUGCAAUCAAGUUUUUGGAUCGUAUUCUGACAGUCAAUUUUUGGUAGAUUUACAAAGGAGGACAUGCUCAUGUAGCAAGUAGAAUCUAAUUGGUGUGCCUUGUCCACAUGCAAUAGCCGGCAUCCAUGAGUGGGGUAAGGAUCCUUUGCAGUUCGUGGAUGAGAGCUACAAAGUUGAAACUUACUUAAAAGCUUACGAAAAUUGCAUAUGCCCUAUGAAUGGACAAAAAAUGUGGCCGUCGAGUGGCUUCGAUUCAGUGAAACCCCCAACUUGGGUGACCAAAAAAAGAGGUAGGAAGCAGACAAAGAGCCGAAGAGGAGUUGAGGAAGUUGUGUUGUCCAAAGAGAAGAUGAAGAAGAUUGAUAGGAGAGGUGAUGGCAAGAAGAGAUUGAAAUGUAGUGUUUACAGUCAAAAGGGGCAUAAUAAAAGAUACCACUCAAACCAUGCUUAGCAGGCAAGCUACACAACAAAUGAGGUAUACACUAAGUCAUAAUCAUAUAUGUAUAUCCUGUUUUUGUUUUAUUUAUUAUGUUGGCUGACAUCCUUUUUCAUAAAUUGUAGGAGGACAUAAAUGGUUCGAGGACAUGGGAAGCUACAAGAGCUAAUGUUGGACAGCCUAUUCACAAUCGACUACUACUAUUGGAAUUGAACAAGGUAGAGUGCGGCAUUUUCUUUCCCGGCCUACUAAGAAUGCUAGACAAAAAGGUUUGGUUGUUCAAUGUCUUCGUACCUAAACCAAGAACCAAUUUCAAUAAAAAGGGAUCUCUACCUCAGUGAAGGCCAAGAGCCAGUGGAAGUUCGAACUCAAUUGCAACUCUUAGUGAAGCAUGGAACAACUUGAUGACAAAAUAACGCUAGUUGAAUUCAAUUAUAUUUUUUUGUCAAUGAACUCUAUUUUGAUUGUGACUAUCUAGUUUUUGUCAUUGUAAGUUUUUUGGUGAAAUGUGGAAGAUUGUAAGUCGUUGUAUGUGAUAAGUGAUAUUUCACUCAUAAUAUCAAUGCCAUAAUUUUUACGAGUUUUUGCCAUCUUAACAUGUGGUUUUAGUGUUAUGUGUUAGGUGUUGAAGUACGGAAAAGAAUGAACAAAGGAAGCCAAGUUAAUGAAGAAGAAGAAGAAAAUGAGGAAACGAGACACGCCCAGUCAAAACAGCAGAGAAAGUAGAGUACUAGGCGUCCCAAAGCAAAAAAAAAUAGUAGAAAUGCUGGCACUGCAACGCCAGCAAAUGGAUUCAUCUCGGCACUAGUGAUGGGCGCCGUGGCACCGUCGUGUGGCUGUAGGGUUUUUAAGGUUUGAAAUGUGUACUUGAAGUCCUCAAGUUUUUAUGUUCAUGUGUUUUGGUCCUUUAAGUUUUAAUUAAAAUCAUAACGAUCCUAAUGGUGAUCGUUUCUGCAAGUUUGUAAACAUCAGUGACCAUUAGGGAAAGCGCUCGUAAGUUAGGUGUUCGUUUCUACAAGUUUGUAACUUCAAUGACCAUUUUGUAAUUUUUAGGUAAGUUCAGUG